AGGCAGCAUAGGGCUUCCGGCCUGGGCUGGAGAAGCGCAGGCAGCGUUGUGGCCAGGAGGUGGGCUCAGAGGGCGGCGCAGAGCCUUGCUUGGGGAGAGGCUCUCGGACAGUCGGGGUUGCUGCGGGCCCGAGCCGGGUAGGGUCGCGCUCAGAGCUA
This is a non-coding RNA of Mus musculus (house mouse), 158 nucleotides long. The record is from Rfam. Lineage: Eukaryota; Metazoa; Chordata; Mammalia; Rodentia; Muridae.